RNAcentral lists this ribosomal RNA (253 nucleotides) under uncultured bacterium. Its description in RNAcentral is "partial 16S ribosomal RNA". It matches the Rfam family "Bacterial small subunit ribosomal RNA", at positions 524 to 776 of the family's 1533-position model. The record is from RNAcentral.
UACGUAGGGUGCAAGCGUUGUCCGGAAUUAUUGGGCGUAAAGAGCUCGUAGGCGGUUUGUCGCGUCUGCUGUGAAAACCUAAGGCUCAACCUUGGGCUUGCAGUGGGUACGGGCAGACUAGAGUGCGGUAGGGGUGACUGGAAUUCCUGGUGUAGCGGUGGAAUGCGCAGAUAUCAGGAGGAACACCGAUGGCGAAGGCAGGUCACUGGGCCGCAACUGACGCUGAGGAGCGAAAGCAUGGGGAGCAAACGGG